GACGAACGCUGGCGGCGUGCUUAACACAUGCAAGUCGAACGGAAAGGCCCUGCUUUUGUUGGGUGCUCUAGUUGCGAACGUGUGUGUAACACUUGAGUAACCUGCCCUUUACUUUGUGAUAACUUCAGGAAACUUGUGCUCAUACCGGAUAUGAGCUCCUGCUGCAUGGUGUUGGUUGGAAAGUUUCGGCGGUUGGGUAUGGACUCGCGGCUUAUCAGCUUGUUGGUGGGGUAGUGGCUUACCAAGGCUUUGACGGGUAGCCGGCAUGAGAGGGUGACCGGGAAAAUUGGGACUGAGAGACGGCACAGACUGCAACGGGAGGCAGCAGUGGGGAAUAGUGCAAAAUGGGCGGAAGCAUGAUGAAGAAAAGCAGCGUGCGGGAUGACGGGAUACGGGUUGUAAACAGAUGUAGAAUGAGAAGAAGAGUGAGUGACGGUAAUGGGUAAAGAAGCACCGGCUAACUACGUG
RNAcentral lists this ribosomal RNA (468 nucleotides) under uncultured bacterium. Its description in RNAcentral is "partial 16S ribosomal RNA". It matches the Rfam family "Bacterial small subunit ribosomal RNA", at positions 28 to 507 of the family's 1533-position model. The record is from RNAcentral.